RNAcentral lists this long non-coding RNA (328 nucleotides) under Dasypus novemcinctus (nine-banded armadillo). RNAcentral's name for it is "lncRNA (ENSDNOG00000050383.1)". The record is from RNAcentral. Lineage: Eukaryota; Metazoa; Chordata; Mammalia; Cingulata; Dasypodidae.
CCAGGGUCAGGAACCACUGGCCCAGAGACUUAAAGAGCGAGCGAGCGUCUCUUUCCUCCGCAAUGAAGAUAGGCUGGUGUAAGGCUGGCUUCAUAAAAAUAAGUGGAACAGGGAAGUGGCUCAAUCAGCUGGGCUCCCGUCUUCCACAUGGGAGAGCCUGGGUUCCCGUCCCAGGGCCUCCUUGUGAAGGCGGGCUCGCAUGCCGUGGGGAGCCACCUGGCCCACAAGCGCCGCGGAGAGCCGACUCGGCAAGGUGACGCAACAAAGAAAGGGAGACAAGCAACAACACAGAAGAGCGCACAGCGAAUGGACACAGAGAGCAGACAGC